UCCAAGCCCACCAGCACCACCGAGGCCAGUAAUCCCACCAAGACCUCCAACUCCACCAAACGGAAGCCCAUUAGAACCAAUGCCGGAGAAGCCACCAACACCACCGUAUGUUAGAAAGUUCUUUUGAUCAUCAAGGCCAGCAUCAGUGGGCGCACUUUUGGCAGUGUUAUGAACCACUUGAUCAUCAUGAUCACUAGGCGUAUUUCUUGCACUAGUGUGAACCGCUGCUACAGCAAGAACAAGCAUGACAUUGGCACACCACUUUGCCAUCUCUCUCAAAGAUUAUUAUUAUUUGAUUACUAUUAUGAAUUUUUCUUCUUAGUACAUGUGAACUAUUGUUGCGGGAGUCUCCUUAUAAAGGCUAAGAGGGCAUUGGGGAGGUAGUUGUGGGUAGUAAAUAGAAUUGAAUGCGGGCAACUUAGCUGGCACACUCGCUCAUAAGGUCUGCUGUUUGAAAUAUAUAUUUUCAAGGAUUUGUGCUUAGAGUAAAAUUGUUAUAGGAGUCAUCGUAAUGGUUUAAACGCCUGCUGUACGGCCAAGGCGGAUGUACGGUACAGCAGAAAUUUUGUUUUCAGAAGUACUGCAAGUUUUAAAAACAAUUAUGGACGUUUGAUAAAUUUUACUAUUAAACUGCUGAGAGUAAGUAAAUGAUUAAAAUAUAAAUAAUAUAGGAUAAAAUUUACUUAUACAUGUGAAAACACGUACACACAAUAUUUUUAAUUUUGUAUGAUGAUAAUUUUAACUAAAAAUAAAAUUUAUAAUAUAUAUUGAUUUUAUUUUUUAUCGUAAACAAUUGAUAAUUAAAUUUAUAAUAUAGUGAAACAAAUUUAAUAAUAAAUCGACCAACAAAUAUUGAUGAAUCAUAAUAAAAAUUUACUAAAAUAUUGGUUUUGUUUCCAAUUGAAUAAGAAUAAUUUUGGGUUUAGGUAAUAAUUUUAAAGAUAUUGAUGGAAUUGUAUUAAAGGAUAAAAUUGAUUUUUAAAAUCAGAAUCUAAAAGCUACUUCUUACUUACUUUUCAAAAUCAUCUGUAGUAGAGGCUGAUUUUGACAAAAGUGAUUUUGAUUUUUUUUUUUUACCAAACACUAAAAUUAACUUUUAGAUUUUUAAAAUUAGUUUUAAAUCUCCUAAAAGCAAUCCCAAAUAGAGCCUAACUCUAUUAUAAAUUCUUAAUUAAUAGCUCAUCUAAUAUUUGGUGUUAAAACAUGGACAAAAUAUCACAAAUUGGUAGGUAAAUUUGGACAUUUCAUUUCCACGACAUAUAGUCAAGUUUAAGGCUGUGGCCCGACAAAUUAAUGACCUUACUUUGCUUAGUGUAACGUAAUGCAUGAGCUUCGAUAACUUCAUAUGUAAACUUUAGUUGCUUUCGUUAAAGUUCUAUAACAUCAGUCAUCUCCAUUUAAAAGACAGAAGAAGAAGAAGAUAAAACACGCGAUUUAAUUAUUUACGUCGAAUAUCUCUGAAGUAGAGAAUUACAUUACAAUAACAUACCAAAAGCUCUCAAAACUAAAACUCAAAAGCAAACAGUAACUGAAACCAAAGUAAACGAACUAUCACACGAACAUGGCAUUAAAACUAAACUUUCUUAAUAACGCGCACGGGAAUAACGUGCACGGGAAACCCUCAAACAGGAAAAACCUUGAUUAAUUAAAAGCAAGUAAAGAAGCCCUAAUGUCUUCUAAGGCUCCAACUAUUUCAAGGGAAAGGAAGCACUCCAGUGCCAAUGCCAACUCCACCGGCAGAACCACCACCAACGCCGCCACCAGCACCACCUCCAACGCCGCCGCCACCGCCAACGCCGCCACCCACGCCACCAACUCCACCAAGCCCACUUGAACCACCGAGCCCACUAGCACCACCGAGGCCACCGACUCCACCAAUUCCUCCAAGCCCACCAGCACCACCGAGGCCAGUAAUCCCACCAAGACCUCCAACUCCACCAAACGGAAGCCCAUUAGAACCAAUGCCGGAGAAGCCACCAACACCACCGUAUGUUAGAAAGUUCUUUUGAUCAUCAAGGCCAGCAUCAGUGGGCGCACUUUUGGCAGUGUUAUGAACCACUUGAUCAUCAUGAUCACUAGGCGUAUUUCUUGCACUAGUGUGAACCGCUGCUACAGCAAGAACAAGCAUGACAUUGGCACACCACUUUGCCAUCUCUCUCAAAGAUUAUUAUUAUUUGAUUACUAUUAUGAAUUUUUCUUCUUAGUACAUGUGAACUAUUGUUGCGGGAGUCUCCUUAUAAAGGCUAAGAGGGCAUUGGGGAGGUAGUUGUGGGUAGUAAAUAGAAUUGAAUGCGGGCAACUUAGCUGGCACACUCGCUCAUAAGGUCUGCUGUUUGAAAUAUAUAUUUUCAAGGAUUUGUGCUUAGAGUAAAAUUGUUAUAGGAGUCAUCGUAAUGGUUUAAACGCUUGGGGUACCAGCUGAAAGAAAGUUACUGCGAUGGCCAGAGUGGCAAAUGCAGAAAUAAACAUGCAUGCCAGAUAUGGUGGUGACAAAUGAAAUGCUGAUUAGGGAUGUGGCGUUCGGGCAUGUGAUAUGCAGAGAAACAUUUGCCCAACCAAUCAAGUAAUUACAUUUGGUUGGAAGAAAAGGGCCGAUGUGAAGUGAUUGACUCAAUUCUGGGCAUUAUUAAUUUCCUGGACCAUUUCCAAUGACAUGAAAAAUUUUAAACUGUGUGUGACAAGGAACCUUACCUUUUGAGUUUUGAGAGGAAAUGCAAAUCCUAAUUAAGCUGUGAAAAAGUAAAAUUAAAUGUUCUUGCGUUGCGGAGAAUUAAGUAAAAAGUCAUCGAGCCUUUUCACUGAGCUGUAGUCCAUAACUCAUAAUACGUAGUAGCACGUGGUCAAUUCUAAACAUCAAUUUUUUUUUAUUAAAAAAAACUCUAAACAUUGAAUUAAUUUGCAAGAAAUAUUUCUUUUUUUUUUUUCAUCUUGGUAUUAGACUUCUAUAUCAAACAUUUUCUACUGUCAUUAUACUUUUUAUUCUACUAAUUAAUUUGCUUAUCUAAUCUAAAAGAAAAAAAAUUCUUAUCUCAACUAAAUUUGCGUGUUUUGGUUACUUUACUCACUCACUUUGUCAAUCUAGUUUUCUCUAACUAAAGACUUUUAGUUAACAUGUACUGACACAUUAAUUUAAUGGUAAAAUCUGUCCAAUCCUUUGGGACCAUCGUAAUUCAAGAGUUUGGAAAAAGUUAAACACUAUUUGCACACAAAAUUAUAAAUAAAAAUGAAUUAAUAAAUUUGUACAAUUUUAUAUGCAAGUAGCAUUACUCAUGGCAAAAUUUGAAGCAGUUAAUGGUUUUAUAUAGGGUAAGUUGAUUAUUAAAGAAUUAGAUUGUUUUGUUAAAUCUGAUUGGUGGUUAUUAAAUAUAAAGUUUCCAUUCAAUAUUUUAAUUUACUGUUGAGUUGCAUUAAAUAUUGGUUGGUCAAUGGAAGUCAGCUGCUAAAUUCAAUGUCGACCUACAUUCAAUCUCUACCUAACAAGUUUAAUUUGGGAUCGGAUACCUGCACAUUCUAAGUCCACCCCAAAUAUUACACUCCACCAUUCCCAACUCUUUACACCUAAAUUGAGAAAAUCGUUUGGAGAAAAUAUUGGUCAACACUAAUUGAAUCGUUGACUUAAACUAUAGGAAAUAAUAGAACAUUUACAACUGAGAAAAGUUUAGUAACACGACACAUAAAUUCUCCACCAGUUUUAUUUUUUCCUCUAUGUAUAGUAGUGUCUUUCAGCUAUAGGAUCAUUUUUCUAAUAUAUAAAUUAUCAUUAAAAUACAUGCUUAUUGAUAACGUAUUAUCAGUUUUGAUAUUCAGUUAUUGAUUCACCGAUCAUCCAAUUGAAGAAACGUGUUUUCAUUUCUUGAAUAAAACAUUAUACACUGAGAGUUAUUUAUAGAUGCAGAUGCUACAUUUUUUCAAAGAUUACAUAUGUAAAUACGGAAGGAAAUAGGUCUGUGUUGUGCGCGAGAGCUGGGCUGACGCUGGUGCUGCGUUGCGUUGCGCGCGCGGGACUGAUGUACUGCGCGAGGGUGAUUGCUGGAUUGAUUUGCGCUGUGCGCGCGAGCUGGAGCUGAGGAUCUGCGUUGCUAGGCGUUACUGCUGCUGCUUCGCGGGAUGUGUUGCGUGCACGGUUGCUGCUGAUUUCGCACAAUGGUGAUGGCUGGGGCUUGCUGCGUUGCACGCGGCUGCUUUCGCUGGUGGGACUUCGUUGCGCGCUGCUGGGCUGCGAGACACGGGAUGCUGGUGUUGCGCUCACGAGAUGGUGCGUUUUCCGGCGGGCUGGUUUGCUGCUGGUGUGCUGCAAGCGGCUGGAGAAGAAAACAAGUUCUGGAAAAUUAGGGAUUUUGUGAACAGUGAAUAGUGAACAGUGAUUUUCGAUUUUUGGUUUUUUUUUAAAUAAAUAAACAUAAUCAUUAAAGAACAUAUAUGGGAAUUAAAUAAAUAAAUAAAAUAAUUAUUUCAUUGAAUAGGGUUUCAUCUUUAACCUCAGUAUAAGAAAAUUAGCUGGACAUACUUAAAUUGGGAGCAACAAAAAAAAUAAAAUCAGCCAUGGGAAGCCGAAAUAUUGCUGCUGCAACUGGUCUCUUCCAACCUGACAUACUUGAAUUGGGAGCAACAAAAGAAAUAAAAUCAGCCAUGGGAAGCUUCCUUUUCCAAUUAUGAAACAAAGCUUCCAUAAUAACGCCAGCCAUUAAUUCCACUUUUGAAAGUCAAGUGUGGGCCCCAUUUAAAUUGCUUUCCCCUUUUGCAAUGCUAUGGACGUGCAACUCAAUUGGAGAAUUGAAAUUCUUUUUCAAUGCAAAUUGCUCUUAGCUCUUAACUCUAUCACAGCUUCAACUAAUAUUUCUCUAAAUUAUUAUUUUUUUUGCACUUUUUAUUUCCAAUCUCCAAUUAAUUUCCUAUUCAAUAAAACAAUUCAAUUAAUUAAAAAUAACAAAUAAAAUUAACUAGCAAAUAUACAAUAAAGGGUAAAAUAUGUAUAUAAAUUAUGCUCAUCACAUUGCUUAAUAUUUAUUAUUAUGGUUGGUUGAAUUAUAUACAUGGCAAUUAAUGAAUGAAAAUACAGGUGCUCCUGAAUCCCAAAACAUUUCCACGACAUAUAGUCAAGUUUAAGGCUGUGGCCCGACAAAUUAAUGACCUUACUUUGCUUAGUGUAACAUAAUGCAUGAGCUUCGAUAACUUCAUAUGUAAACUUUAGUUGCUUUAGCUAAGGUUCUAUAACAUCAGUCAUCUCCAUUUAAAAGACAGAAGAAGAAGAUAAAACACGCGAUUAAAUUAUUUACGUCGAAUAUCUCUGAAGUAGAGAAUUACAUUACGAUAACAUACCAGAAGCUCUCAAAGCUAAAAAUCAAAAGCAAACAGUAACUGAAGCCGAAGUAAACGAACUAUCACACGAACAUGACAUUAAACUAAACUUUCUUAAUAACGUGCACGGGAAACCCUCAAACAGGAAAAACCUUGAUUAAUUAAAAGCAAGUAAAGAAGCCCUAAUGUCUUCUAAGGCUCCAACUAUUUCAAUGGAAAGGAAGCACUCCGGUGCCAGUGCCAACUCCACCGGCAGAACCACCACCAACGCCGCCACCAGCACCACCGCCAACGCCGCCACCCACGCCACCAACUCCACCAAGCCCACUUGAACCACCGAGACCACCGACUCCACCAAUUCCUCCAAGCCCACCAGCACCACCGAGGCCAGUAACGCCAGCAAGACCUCCAACUCCACCAAGCGGAAGCCCAUUAGAACCAAUGCCGGAGAAGCCACUGACACCACCGUAUGUUAGAAAGUUCUUUUGAUCAUCAAGGCCAGCACCAGAGGGUGCAUUUUUGGCAGCGUUAUGAACCACUUGAUCAUCAUGAUCACUAGGCGUGUUUCUUGCACUAGUGUGAACCGCUACUACAGCAAGAACAAGCAUGACAGUGAC
This 5915-nucleotide long non-coding RNA is filed under the name Citrus sinensis (sweet orange). Its description in RNAcentral is "long non-coding RNA (CSIN_LNC002422)". The record is from RNAcentral. Lineage: Eukaryota; Viridiplantae; Streptophyta; Magnoliopsida; Sapindales; Rutaceae.